CCUACGGGCGGCAGCAGUGGGGAAUAUUGGACAAUGGGCGAAAGCCUGAUCCAGCCAUGCCGCGUGUGUGAAGAAGGCCUUCGGGUUGUAAAGCACUUUCAGUGGGGAAGAAAGCCUUGGGGCUAAUACCCUCGAGGAAGGACAUCACCCACAGAAGAAGCACCGGCUAACUCCGUGCCAGCAGCCGCGGUAAUACGGAGGGUGCGAGCGGUAAUCGGAAUUACUGGGCGUAAAGCGCGCGUAGGCGGUCUGAUAAGCCGGUUGGGAAAGCCCCGGGCUCAACCUGGGAACGGCAUCCGGAACUGUCAGGCUAGAGGGAAGGAGAGGAAGGUAGAAUUCCCGGUGUAGCGGUGAAAUGCGUAGAGAUCGGGAGGAAUACCAGUGGCGAAGGCGGCCUUCUGGACUGACACUGACGCUGAGGUGCGAAAGCGUGGGUAGCAAACAGGAUUAGAUACCCCUGUAGUC
RNAcentral lists this ribosomal RNA (465 nucleotides) under Vreelandella stevensii. Its description in RNAcentral is "partial 16S ribosomal RNA". It matches the Rfam family "Bacterial small subunit ribosomal RNA", at positions 338 to 795 of the family's 1533-position model. Lineage: Bacteria; Pseudomonadati; Pseudomonadota; Gammaproteobacteria; Oceanospirillales; Halomonadaceae. The record is from RNAcentral.